RNAcentral lists this ribosomal RNA (468 nucleotides) under uncultured bacterium. Its description in RNAcentral is "partial 16S ribosomal RNA". It matches the Rfam family "Bacterial small subunit ribosomal RNA", at positions 28 to 507 of the family's 1533-position model. The record is from RNAcentral.
GACGAACGCUGGCGGCGUGCUUAACACAUGCAAGUCGAACGGAAAGACCCUGCUUUUGUUGGGUGCUCGAGUGGCGAACGGGUGAGUAACACGUGAGUAACCUGCCCUUGACUUUGGGAUAACUUCACGAAACUGGGGCGUAUAACGUAUAGGAGCUCCUGCUGCAUGGUGGUGGUUGGAAAGGUUCGGCGGUUGGGGCUGGGCUCGCGGCUUAUCAGCUUGUUGGUGGGGUAGUGGCUUACCAAGGCUUUGACGGGUAGCCGGCCUGAGAGGGUGACCGGCCACAUUGGGACUGAGAUACGGCCCAGACUCCUGCGGGAGGCAGCAGUGGGGAAUAUUGCACAAUGGGCGGAAGCCUGAUGCAGCAACGCCGCGUGCGGGAUGAAGGCCUUCGGGUUGUAAACCGCUUUCGCCUGGGACGAAGCGUGAGUGACGGUAAUGGGUAAAGAAGCACCGGCUAACUACGUG